AUCCAGCUGACGAGUCCCAAACAGAACGAAACGUGCGUCCUGGAU
This 45-nucleotide non-coding RNA is filed under the name Schistosoma margrebowiei. The record is from RNAcentral. Lineage: Eukaryota; Metazoa; Platyhelminthes; Trematoda; Strigeidida; Schistosomatidae.